GUCUAAAUAGCUUAUUAGAGUAUAACACUGAAGAUGUUAAGGAGGUUAAUUAACCUUUAGAUA
This 63-nucleotide transfer RNA is filed under the name Vietnamella dabieshanensis. Its description in RNAcentral is "tRNA-Phe". It matches the Rfam family "tRNA". Rfam says of the family: Transfer RNA (tRNA) molecules are approximately 80 nucleotides in length. Their secondary structure includes four short double-helical elements and three loops (D, anti-codon, and T loops). Further hydrogen bonds mediate the characteristic L-shaped molecular structure. tRNAs have two regions of fundamental functional importance: the anti-codon, which is responsible for specific mRNA codon recognition, and the 3' end, to which the tRNAs corresponding amino acid is attached (by aminoacyl-tRNA synthetases). tRNAs cope with the degeneracy of the genetic code in two manners: having more than one tRNA (with a specific anti-codon) for a particular amino acid; and 'wobble' base-pairing, i.e. permitting non-standard base-pairing at the 3rd anti-codon position. Lineage: Eukaryota; Metazoa; Arthropoda; Insecta; Ephemeroptera; Ephemerellidae. The record is from RNAcentral.